ACGGCGAGUGAAGCGGCAACAGCUCAAAUUUGAAAUCUGGCCUUCUGGUCCGAAUUGUAAUUUGUAGAGGAUGCUUUUGGUGCGGUGCCUUCCGAGUUCCCUGGAACGGGACGCCUUAGAGGGUGAGAGCCCCGUACGGUUGGACACCUAGCCUCUGUAAAGCUCCUUCGACGAGUCGAGUAGUUUGGGAAUGCUGCUCUAAAUGGGAGGUAAAUUUCUUCUAAAGCUAAAUACCGGCCAGAGACCGAUAGCGCACAAGUAGAGUGAUCGAAAGAUGAAAAGCACUUUGAAAAGAGGGUUAAACAGCACGUGAAAUUGUUGAAAGGGAAGCGCUUAUGACCAGACUUUUUCCUGGCGGAUCAUCCGGUGUUCUCACCGGUGCACUUCGCCAGGUUUAGGCCAGCAUCGGUUUUCGUAGGGAGAUAAAAGCUUUAGGAAUGUGACUCCUCCGGGAGUGUUAUAGCCUAUUGUAUAAUAUCCUUAUGGGGACCGAGGUUCGCGCUCUGCAAGGAUGCUGGCAUAAUGGUCAUCAGCGACCCGUCUUGAAACACGGACCAAGGAGUCGAACAUUUGUGCGAGUGUUUGGGUGUUAAACCCUCACGCGUAAUGAAAGUGAACGGAGGUGAGAGCCUUAGGGUGCAUCAUCGACCGAUCCUGAAGUCUUCGGAUGGAUUUGAGUAAGAGCAUAACUGUUCGGACCCGAAAGAUGGUGAACUAUGCGUGGAUAGGGUGAAGCCAGAGGAAACUCUGGUGGAGGCUCGCAGCGGUUCUGACGUGCAAAUCGAUCGUCA
RNAcentral lists this ribosomal RNA (791 nucleotides) under Xyladictyochaeta tristaniopsidis. RNAcentral describes it as "Xyladictyochaeta tristaniopsis partial large subunit ribosomal RNA". It matches the Rfam family "Eukaryotic large subunit ribosomal RNA", at positions 86 to 907 of the family's 3401-position model. The record is from RNAcentral. Lineage: Eukaryota; Fungi; Ascomycota; Sordariomycetes; Xylariales.